Molecule: small nuclear RNA, 306 nt
Filed under: Erinaceus europaeus (western European hedgehog)
Lineage: Eukaryota; Metazoa; Chordata; Mammalia; Eulipotyphla; Erinaceidae
Description: 7SK RNA
Rfam family: 7SK RNA
About the family: 7SK was discovered as an abundant small nuclear RNA in the mid-70s but a possible function has only recently been suggested. Two independent studies have found that 7SK RNA binds the CDK9/cyclin T complex (known as elongation factor P-TEFb). P-TEFb activates transcription by phosphorylating the C-terminal domain of RNA polymerase II.
Source: Rfam by way of RNAcentral
GGAUGUUAGAGUGAUCUGGCUGUGACAUCUGUCACCCCAUUGAUCGUCAGGGUUGAUUCAGCUGAUCUGGCUGGCUAGGCUGGUGUCCCCUUCCUCCCUCACUGCUCCAUGUGCUUCCCUCCAGAAGUUUAGUUGAAGAGGAAGCUUUCACCAGAGACUGACCAGACCAGUCAUUGGUCCAGGGUAUAAGAGAAGCUGCACUCCCCUGUUAGAACAUGCAUCUAAACUCAAAAUAUCUCUACAGCUUUGUCAUUUUGCCUAUCUGAACCAUUAAACUAGCUGAAUAACAUCUCCACAUUUCCCUGU